AUGAACACCCCAAGGGUGACUGGGGUAUAGAAAUAUGGUCACUUGGUCUUCUCCCGACCGGCAGUAAAACGCUUGCCGAAGUGGGGCGUCCGUUUGGCUGUGUGGGAUGUAUCAAGUUCGCAGUCACGUCCGGUCAGAAAGUGGACGUUAAAUCCGAUGCCUCGUUUAAAGAGAGUGCCACGCUCUUUGCACGUUAAGAACCCUUGCAACAACUCUUUGAGGGGUCCGUAGGUGGCCUGUUGCAAGGCAAAAUUUCUGUUCCUAUCCAAUAUACCCUCAUUCUCCAGUGGCAGUCGAAAUUUUCCCGAACAUCAUCCCAGAUGGCCUCUAUUGUAUCCACCUACCUAUUGUAUUUAUUGUGAACUUGUUCUCGUCCUGAAUAUGCAUGAAAUAUUUGCCACUGGACGUUAAGCAACCAACAAUCAAUCAAUCAAUCAAUCAAUC
Molecule: long non-coding RNA, 444 nt
Filed under: Mytilus galloprovincialis (Mediterranean mussel)
Lineage: Eukaryota; Metazoa; Mollusca; Bivalvia; Mytilida; Mytilidae
Source: RNAcentral